CCUACGGGAGGCAGCAGUGAGGAAUAUUGGACAAUGGGCGCAAGCCUGAUCCAGCCAUGCCGCGUGCAGGAAGACGGUCCUAUGGAUUGUAAACUGCUUUUGUACGGGAAGAAACACUCCUUCGUGAAGGAGCUUGACGGUACCGUAAGAAUAAGGAUCGGCUAACUCCGUGCCAGCAGCCGCGGUAAUACGGAGGAUCCAAGCGUUAUCCGGAAUCAUUGGGUUUAAAGGGUCCGUAGGCGGUUUAGUAAGUCAGUGGUGAAAGCCCAUCGCUCAACGGUGGAACGGCCAUUGAUACUGCUAGACUUGAAUUAUUAGGAAGUAACUAGAAUAUGUAGUGUAGCGGUGAAAUGCUUAGAGAUUACAUGGAAUACCAAUUGCGAAGGCAGGUUACUACUAAUGGAUUGACGCUGAUGGACGAAAGCGUGGGUAGCGAACAGGAUUAGAUACCCUGGUAGUCCACGCCGUAAACGAUGGAUACUAGCUGUUGGGGGCAACUUCAGUGGUGUAGACGAAGUAGUAGUAAGUAGUACCGACCGUACGGGUAGGUACGGUUCGUCGAAGUAAGUAGUAAACGUUAAAGUUAAGUAAGUUAGUUACGGUACGUUGAGAGUGCGACGGACGACGACGAGGGAGGAGG
Molecule: ribosomal RNA, 640 nt
Filed under: uncultured bacterium
Lineage: Bacteria
Description: bacterial SSU rRNA
Rfam family: Bacterial small subunit ribosomal RNA (bases 1-538)
Source: RNAcentral